RNAcentral lists this ribosomal RNA (253 nucleotides) under uncultured bacterium. RNAcentral describes it as "partial 16S ribosomal RNA". It matches the Rfam family "Bacterial small subunit ribosomal RNA", at positions 524 to 776 of the family's 1533-position model. The record is from RNAcentral.
UACGAGGGGUGCAAGCGUUGCUCGGAAUUAUUGGGCGUAAAGGGUAGGUAGGUGGUCUCAUUUGUCUGGGGUGAAAGCCUUGAGCUUAACUCAAGAAGUGCCCCGGAAACGGUGAGACUGGAGUCUUGGAGAGGGUCGUGGAAUUCCCGGUGUAGCGGUGAAAUGCGUAGAGAUCGGGAGGAACACCAGAGGCGAAAGCGGCGACCUGGACAAGUACUGACACUCAACUACGAAAGCGUGGGGAGCAAACAGG